ACGGGAGGCAGCAGUGGGGAAUAUUGGGCAAUGGGCGAAAGCCUGACCCAGCAACGCCGCGUGAAGGAAGAAGGUCUUCGGAUUGUAAACUUCUUUUAUGAGGGACGAAGGACGUGACGGUACCUCAUGAAUAAGCCACGGCUAACUACGUGCCAGCAGCCGCGGUAAUACGUAGGGAGCAAGCGUUAUCCGGAAUUACUGGGUGUAAAGGGAGUGUAGGCGGGACUGUAAGUCAGAUGUGAAAUAUGCCGGCUCAACUGGCAGACUGCAUUUGAAACUGCGGUUCUUGAGUGAAGUAGAGGUAAGCGGAAUUCCUAGUGUAGCGGUGAAAUGCGUAGAUAUUAGGAGGAACAUCAGUGGCGAAGGCGGCUUACUGGGCUUUAACUGACGCUGAGGCUCGAAAGCGUGGGGAGCAAACAGGAUUAGAUACCCUGGUA
The sequence is a ribosomal RNA, 437 nucleotides long. It matches the Rfam family "Bacterial small subunit ribosomal RNA", at positions 341 to 792 of the family's 1533-position model.